AGUGAACGCUGGCGGCGUGCUUAACACAUGCAAGUCGAACGAGAACGGAAUAUAGCUUGCUAUAUUUGUCAGCUAAGUGGCGCACGGGUGAGUAAUGUAUAGAUAACCUGCCCUUAAGAAAGGAAUAACAGUUGGAAACGACUGCUAAUGCCCUAUAUGCCUUUAAUACAUAAGUAUGCAAGGGAAACGCUUUAGUGCUUAAGGAUGGGUCUGUAUGGUAUCAGCUUGUUGGUGAGGUAAUGGCUCACCAAGGCUAUGACGCCUAACUGGUUUGAGAAGAUGCUCAGUCACACUGGAACUGAGACACGGUCCAGACUCCUACGGGAGGCAGCAGUGGGGAAUAUUGCACAAUGGACGAAAGUCUGAUGCAGCAACGCCGCGUGGAGGAUGACACAUUUCGGUGCGUAAACUCCUUUUAUAUAGGAAGAUAAUGACGGUACUAUAUGAAUAAGCACCGGCUAACUCCGUGCCAGCAGCCGCCGUAA
Molecule: ribosomal RNA, 485 nt
Filed under: uncultured bacterium
Lineage: Bacteria
Description: partial 16S ribosomal RNA
Rfam family: Bacterial small subunit ribosomal RNA
Source: RNAcentral